RNAcentral lists this ribosomal RNA (936 nucleotides) under Triticum aestivum (bread wheat). RNAcentral describes it as "partial small subunit ribosomal RNA". The record is from RNAcentral. Lineage: Eukaryota; Viridiplantae; Streptophyta; Magnoliopsida; Poales; Poaceae.
AUGAAUUGGAUACUUCAAGAGAAGAGAAGAGAAUUGUCAGAUAAGGAGAGGCAUGGUGUUUGCUUUGCCUUGCUGGUAAUCGAGCUCAGAGAUGGGUCUGUUCAACCAGACGACAAGCUGCUAGUCUCAAACCUGUUGGACAUAAGUGUACGAUCUGUUGAAAGAAUCUGGGAACAGGCUAAAAAGCAAAUUGCCGAUGGAAAAGAAGUAGAUGUCUCAAGCAAGAAGCCAGGAAGAUCCGGCCAAAAGAGAAAGGAGCUAGAUCUAGAGAGGACCUCAACAAUCCCACUGAAUAAAAGAAGAACAAUUCGAUCUCUGGCACGGUCUCUAGGUGUGGCCCGAUCGACCCUACAUAAGAGGUUCCAGUUGAAUGAGCUCAACCGCAUCACAAGCACCGUGAAGCCUCACCUCAAGCUAGAGAACAAGCUUGCGAGAUUGAAAUUUUGUAUGUCCAUGGUCGAUGACAAUUCGAUCUCAACUUCUCGGGCUAUGUUAAAACCAAUGACAAAUAUGGUUCACAUCGAUGAGAAGUGGUUUGACAUGACGAGAGUGAAGAAUAGUUACUAUGUACUUCCAGGAGAACCUGAACCGAAGCGCACCAUGUCAAACACUCACAGCAUUGGGAAGGUGAUGUUCCUAACAGUUGUUGCCAAGCAUCGAUAUAACAAUGAGGGGGAGAUAACAUUCGAUGGGAAGAUCGGCAUUUGGGCAUUCGUCGAAGAGACCGAGGCGAAGCGGACAAGUCAAAACAGAACAAAGGGAACAAAAGUGUUGACAUCGGUGAAAGUAACCAGGCCUGUGUGCAGAGAUUAUCUAAUCAAUAAGGUUAUCCCGGCAAUUCAGGAUAAGUGGCCUGACGAUGAUGAGGGAGCACCAAUAUUCAUCCAACAGGAUAAUGCAAAGCCUCAUGUCCUUCCCAAUGAUGUAGCUUUUUGA